This 2933-nucleotide ribosomal RNA is filed under the name Escherichia coli. RNAcentral describes it as "23S ribosomal RNA". It matches the Rfam family "Bacterial large subunit ribosomal RNA". Lineage: Bacteria; Pseudomonadati; Pseudomonadota; Gammaproteobacteria; Enterobacterales; Enterobacteriaceae. The record is from RNAcentral.
GGGUUGUGAGGUUAAGCGACUAAGCGUACACGGUGGAUGCCCUGGCAGUCAGAGGCGAUGAAGGACGUGCUAAUCUGCGAUAAGCGUCGGUAAGGUGAUAUGAACCGUUAUAACCGGCGAUUUCCGAAUGGGGAAACCCAGUGUGAUUCGUCACACUAUCAUUAACUGAAUCCAUAGGUUAAUGAGGCGAACCGGGGGAACUGAAACAUCUAAGUACCCCGAGGAAAAGAAAUCAACCGAGAUUCCCCCAGUAGCGGCGAGCGAACGGGGAGCAGCCCAGAGCCUGAAUCAGUGUGUGUGUUAGUGGAAGCGUCUGGAAAGGCGUGCGAUACAGGGUGACAGCCCCGUACACAAAAAUGCACAUGCUGUGAGCUCGAUGAGUAGGGCGGGACACGUGGUAUCCUGUCUGAAUAUGGGGGGACCAUCCUCCAAGGCUAAAUACUCCUGACUGACCGAUAGUGAACCAGUACCGUGAGGGAAAGGCGAAAAGAACCCCGGCGAGGGGAGUGAAAAAGAACCUGAAACCGUGUACGUACAAGCAGUGGGAGCACAGAGCAAUCUGUGUGACUGCGUACCUUUUGUAUAAUGGGUCAGCGACUUAUAUUCUGUAGCAAGGUUAACCGAAUAGGGGAGCCGAAGGGAAACCGAGUCUUAACUGGGCGUUAAGUUGCAGGGUAUAGACCCGAAACCCGGUGAUCUAGCCAUGGGCAGGUUGAAGGUUGGGUAACACUAACUGGAGGACCGAACCGACUAAUGUUGAAAAAUUAGCGGAUGACUUGUGGCUGGGGGUGAAAGGCCAAUCAAACCGGGAGAUAGCUGGUUCUCCCCGAAAGCUAUUUAGGUAGCGCCUCGUGAAUUCAUCUCCGGGGGUAGAGCACUGUUUCGGCAAGGGGGUCAUCCCGACUUACCAACCCGAUGCAAACUGCGAAUACCGGAGAAUGUUAUCACGGGAGACACACGGCGGGUGCUAACGUCCGUCGUGAAGAGGGAAACAACCCAGACCGCCAGCUAAGGUCCCAAAGUCAUGGUUAAGUGGGAAACGAUGUGGGAAGGCCCAGACAGCCAGGAUGUUGGCUUAGAAGCAGCCAUCAUUUAAAGAAAGCGUAAUAGCUCACUGGUCGAGUCGGCCUGCGCGGAAGAUGUAACGGGGCUAAACCAUGCACCGAAGCUGCGGCAGCGACGCUUAUGCGUUGUUGGGUAGGGGAGCGUUCUGUAAGCCUGCGAAGGUGUGCUGUGAGGCAUGCUGGAGGUAUCAGAAGUGCGAAUGCUGACAUAAGUAACGAUAAAGCGGGUGAAAAGCCCGCUCGCCGGAAGACCAAGGGUUCCUGUCCAACGUUAAUCGGGGCAGGGUGAGUCGACCCCUAAGGCGAGGCCGAAAGGCGUAGUCGAUGGGAAACAGGUUAAUAUUCCUGUACUUGGUGUUACUGCGAAGGGGGGACGGAGAAGGCUAUGUUGGCCGGGCGACGGUUGUCCCGGUUUAAGCGUGUAGGCUGGUUUUCCAGGCAAAUCCGGAAAACUAAGGCUGAGGCGUGAUGACGAGGCACUACGGUGCUGAAGCAACAAAUGCCCUGCUUCCAGGAAAAGCCUCUAAGCAUCAGGUAACAUCAAAUCGUACCCCAAACCGACACAGGUGGUCAGGUAGAGAAUACCAAGGCGCUUGAGAGAACUCGGGUGAAGGAACUAGGCAAAAUGGUGCCGUAACUUCGGGAGAAGGCACGCUGAUAUGUAGGUGAAGUCCCUCGCGGAUGGAGCUGAAAUCAGUCGAAGAUACCAGCUGGCUGCAACUGUUUAUUAAAAACACAGCACUGUGCAAACACGAAAGUGGACGUAUACGGUGUGACGCCUGCCCGGUGCCGGAAGGUUAAUUGAUGGGGUCAGCGCAAGCGAAGCUCUUGAUCGAAGCCCCGGUAAACGGCGGCCGUAACUAUAACGGUCCUAAGGUAGCGAAAUUCCUUGUCGGGUAAGUUCCGACCUGCACGAAUGGCGUAAUGAUGGCCAGGCUGUCUCCACCCGAGACUCAGUGAAAUUGAACUCGCUGUGAAGAUGCAGUGUACCCGCGGCAAGACGGAAAGACCCCGUGAACCUUUACUAUAGCUUGACACUGAACAUUGAGCCUUGAUGUGUAGGAUAGGUGGGAGGCUUGGAAGUGUGGACGCCAGUCUGCAUGGAGCCGACCUUGAAAUACCACCCUUUAAUGUUUGAUGUUCUAACGUUGACCCGUAAUCCGGGUUGCGGACAGUGUCUGGUGGGUAGUUUGACUGGGGCGGUCUCCUCCUAAAGAGUAACGGAGGAGCACGAAGGUUGGCUAAUCCUGGUCGGACAUCAGGAGGUUAGUGCAAUGGCAUAAGCCAGCUUGACUGCGAGCGUGACGGCGCGAGCAGGUGCGAAAGCAGGUCAUAGUGAUCCGGUGGUUCUGAAUGGAAGGGCCAUCGCUCAACGGAUAAAAGGUACUCCGGGGAUAACAGGCUGAUACCGCCCAAGAGUUCAUAUCGACGGCGGUGUUUGGCACCUCGAUGUCGGCUCAUCACAUCCUGGGGCUGAAGUAGGUCCCAAGGGUAUGGCUGUUCGCCAUUUAAAGUGGUACGCGAGCUGGGUUUAGAACGUCGUGAGACAGUUCGGUCCCUAUCUGCCGUGGGCGCUGGAGAACUGAGGGGGGCUGCUCCUAGUACGAGAGGACCGGAGUGGACGCAUCACUGGUGUUCGGGUUGUCAUGCCAAUGGCACUGCCCGGUAGCUAAAUGCGGAAGAGAUAAGUGCUGAAAGCAUCUAAGCACGAAACUUGCCCCGAGAUGAGUUCUCCCUGACUCCUUGAGAGUCCUGAAGGAACGUUGAAGACGACGACGUUGAUAGGCCGGGUGUGUAAGCGCAGCGAUGCGUUGAGCUAACCGGUACUAAUGAACCGUGAGGCUUAACCUUACAACGCCGAAGGUGUUU